GCUGGGCAUGGUGGCAGAUGCCUGUAAUCCCAGUGACUCAGGAAGCUGAGGCAGGAGGAUUGUCAAGUUCAAGGCCAGCAGCCUCAGCAAUUUUUUAGCGAGGCCCUAAGUAAUUUAGUGAAACCCUGUCUCAA
This 134-nucleotide small RNA is filed under the name Marmota monax (woodchuck). The record is from RNAcentral. Lineage: Eukaryota; Metazoa; Chordata; Mammalia; Rodentia; Sciuridae.